AUGCGGGAGCGCGUCGAGUUCCUCCGCUCCCUCGGCCUCGGCCCCGACGACCUCGCCACCUACCCGCUCGCCCUCGGCUGCAGCGUCCGCAAGAACAUGGUCCCUGUCCUUGACUACCUCGGCAAGAUCGACGUCCGUCGCAACAAGCUCCCGCACCUGCUCCGCCGCUACCCGCAGGUGCUCCACGCCAGCAUCGUCGUCAACCUCGCGCCUGUCGUCAAGUACCUCCAGGGGAUGGACGUCAAGCCCGGCGACGUGUCGCGCGUGCUCGAGCUCUACCCAGAGCUCCUCGGCUUCAAGCUCGAGGGCACCUAUGAUCCAGUUUUCGAUGGAAACACACCAAAUUCCAAACUAAAUGGCGCCAGCAGCCUGACUAGCAACUCUGGACUAUCCACUAUCUGGAGGCAGGAGUGGUGGACUUCUCCUCUCCAGGCAUUCUGA
This 441-nucleotide ribosomal RNA is filed under the name Triticum aestivum (bread wheat). RNAcentral describes it as "partial small subunit ribosomal RNA". Lineage: Eukaryota; Viridiplantae; Streptophyta; Magnoliopsida; Poales; Poaceae. The record is from RNAcentral.